UACGUAGGGACCAAGCGUUGUCCGGAAUUACUGGGCGUAAAGAGCUCGUAGGUGGUUUGUCGCGUUGUUCGUGAAAACUCACAGCUCAACUGUGGGCGUGCGGGCGAUACGGGCAGACUGGAGUACUGCAGGGGAGACUGGAAUUCCUGGUGUAGCGGUGGAAUGCGCAGAUAUCAGGAGGAACACCGGUGGCGAAGGCGGGUCUCUGGGCAGUAACUGACGCUGAGGAGCGAAAGCGUGGGGAGCGAACAGG
Molecule: ribosomal RNA, 253 nt
Filed under: uncultured bacterium
Lineage: Bacteria
Description: partial 16S ribosomal RNA
Rfam family: Bacterial small subunit ribosomal RNA
Source: RNAcentral